This 31-nucleotide non-coding RNA is filed under the name Rattus norvegicus (Norway rat). The record is from RNAcentral. Lineage: Eukaryota; Metazoa; Chordata; Mammalia; Rodentia; Muridae.
UAGAGAAUGGAAUGGUAUAUUUCAAGCCCCU